AGUUCUCGUCUCGACCUUCUGACUCACAACUAAUCCCAGAGCAUUCAUUCCCAUACGCCCACCUCGUUAACUCGUUAAUUAACUUCACCUGUCUCUCACACGCACCCACACGUCUAUAUUAAGGUGCUCACGUAGGAUUGGUUUAAUUUUUUAUGUCUUUAGCCUCGCUUAUCAGGUUUUCGCAUCAGAUAGUGCGCUCGCGUUUUCCGUCAAUUUCAGCUAAACUCAAAAGGGACCCACCGCUACUUAUAAACGUGUUUUUGUGUGCUACUUUUGACUGAACAAUCCUGACAAACAUUUCCACCAGAGGAAGGUCUUCAACAAAGAACACCACAGACAAUGCCUUGCUGAUGACUGACUUAACUUGACUGUAUGGGGGGGCCCGCUGCCCCCCCAUACAUCACCGACGACGUCCUGAUUGUGAACGGCGGGGGAUGAGGCCACAGGUCAGCUUAGCUCAGGAGUUGUAACUUGGUUUUUGAUCGUGGACAGUAAGGAUUCUCUGCCUGAUGACUCCUUUGAACGCCCCCUUGUGCAGAAUGGUAUCACUUUGACUGUUGCAGCGGUAAGGAAUCGUGGCAUUAUCUCCUGCCAGUUGUAAAUGAUGUUGCAGUGUACCGCGUGCUAAGGAGCCUGGGAAAGGAAGAGUCGAAGCGCCUUUCCUUAGCAGUUGGUCAAU
Molecule: long non-coding RNA, 679 nt
Organism: Gadus macrocephalus (Pacific cod)
Lineage: Eukaryota; Metazoa; Chordata; Actinopteri; Gadiformes; Gadidae
Exons: 4
Source: RefSeq, a predicted model, not a curated record